AAUGGAGUGGUAUCCAUAUCUGAAUACAUAGGAUAUGAGAAGGCAGACCCGGGGAACUGAAACAUCUAAGUACCCGGAGGAAGAGAAAGCAAAUGCGAUUCCCUGAGUAGCGGCGAGCGAAACGGGAUCAGCCCAAACCAAGAGGCUUGCCUCUUGGGGUUGUAGGACACUCUGUACGGAGUUACAAAGGAACGAGGUAGAUGAAGAGGUCUGGAAAGGCCCGCCAUAGGAGGUAACAGCCCUGUAGUCAAAACU
Molecule: ribosomal RNA, 255 nt
Filed under: Bacillus sp. RHFS18
Lineage: Bacteria; Bacillati; Bacillota; Bacilli; Caryophanales; Bacillaceae
Description: partial 23S ribosomal RNA
Rfam family: Bacterial large subunit ribosomal RNA
Source: RNAcentral